This 440-nucleotide ribosomal RNA is filed under the name Chlorepyris sp. RNAcentral's name for it is "partial large subunit ribosomal RNA". Lineage: Eukaryota; Metazoa; Arthropoda; Insecta; Hymenoptera; Bethylidae. The record is from RNAcentral.
AAAACAUUUCUUUUUGAUUAAAAUUUAAAGUAAAUCCUGCCCACUGAUUAAUUAAUUAAAUGGCUGCAGUAUUUUAACUGUACAAAGGUAGCAUAAUAAAUUGUUUUUUAAAUGAAAACUUGAAUGAAUGGAUAAAUGAAAUAUAAACUUUAUUAAAAAAUAUUUUUGAAAUUUAUUUUUAAAUUAAAAAGUUUAAAUAUAUUAAUAAGACGAUAAGACCCUAUAGAAUUUUAUAAAUAUGAAUUGAUUUCAUUUUAAAUAUAUAAAUAAUUAAAUAUUUAUUUUUUUGGGAGGAAAUUAAAAUUUAAAUAACUUUUAAUAAAUUAAUACAAUUAUGAUUGUAAAAUUUAUUUAAUGAUUUUAUUUUAUAUAAAUUAAAGAUUAAAUUACCUUAGGGAUAACAGCGUAAUAUUUUUUUAUAGUUCAUAUUGAAAAAAAUG